UACAGGGGGUGCAAGCGUUAUUCGGAAUUAUUGGGCGUAAAGAGCGUGUAGGCGGCUCGUUAAGUUUGGUGUGAAAUCCCCGGGCUCAAUCCGGGAAGUGCAUUGAAUACUGGCGAGCUCGAGUGCAGGAGAGGAUGGCGGAAUUCCUGGUGUAGAGGUGAAAUUCGUAGAUAUCAGGAGGAACAACAGAGGCGAAGGCGGCCAUCUGGACUGUUACUGACGCUAAGGCGCGAAAGCGUGGGGAGCAAACAGG
This 253-nucleotide unclassified non-coding RNA is filed under the name uncultured delta proteobacterium. RNAcentral's name for it is "contains 16S-23S intergenic spacer region". It matches the Rfam family "Bacterial small subunit ribosomal RNA", at positions 524 to 776 of the family's 1533-position model. The record is from RNAcentral. Lineage: Bacteria; Deltaproteobacteria.